GGCAGGAUGUGAUCCACCAGCAAGGAAGGAUGCCAAUAAGGCAGCCGAUAAGAUAAGUCUUAUAAACUAUAUAGAUUCAUGAUAAUUAAGACUGAGCUAACAGAUGAGAAUCCUAGUCAUUGGCCAAGCAGCUUUGAACCUAAUACAAGUUUCUGUGUAUUCAUUUGGGCCUAACUCAGGCGGGCGGCUGGCACAAAGUGCACAUGGAAGUCCCACCGCCCAUGGUUCGGAUAGGCUUGGGACCUCAACUAGAACAUUCCUAUUAACUCUGGAAAAGAAUCUCUGUUCUGCCCAUUUCCUGAGAACUUGGAUGAGGCUGAGUUCCCAAGUAAUAGACCAAUGUGCUCAGUAAGAGGAUAUUUCCAGACAUGGCCUUCAGGCUGUGUCGAAGUCACUGGUUACUGCCCUUUCCCAGGUCUACGACGAGAGAGCAACAAACAGCGGAAAGAUAAGAGAAACUUAGAUUUGACGAGGAAAGGAAUAUGAACACAUUUUAUUUAUUUACCUAUUUAUUUUUGGUUUUUCGAGACAGGGUUUCUCUGUAGCUUAGGAGGCUGUCCUGGAACUCGCUCAGUAGACCAGGUUGGCCUGGAACUCACAGAGCUCCGCCUGCUUCUGCCUCCACAGUACUGGGAUUAAAGGCGUGUGCUACCACUGCCCAGCAGUUCUGGAGGUCCAUAAUCCAAAAUAGGUCUGGUCUGUUAAUAUGCUGUCUAUUGUAAAUUAUCAUGUGCUUGCUGACUAAGAUUGCUGACAAACUUGCAUGUGUGAAGUGUCCUCCAUGACCCCUUGACCAGGAGUGAGGGAAAGCAGCCCAAGAGAUUUAAAAAUAGCAUUGUGCCCUUAAGGGGACAGCUGGUGGCAGAGACCUUCCCAACAGAGGCUACCAUUGCUGAUCUGGUGGCAUAGAAACGCCUGCUGGAGCUGCAGCUGACGUCCCCCCCACCCCUGUGUCUCCGUCUCUGCUGAUCUCUGCUGACGUUGGAGGCCCACUCUUGGUGAUUAGCUGCUGCAGCAGUCGCCAGUACCGGUUCUGUGGGUGCUGGGUGUGAUGGUGUUUUGCUACUUGUCUGUCGCUCUUUGUUGAUUUCCUUGUGCUUGCCACAUGCUAAAUAAACACUCAAAACCACGGGCGCAUUCUUCAGACCAUGCAGAACACGACUCACUGGAUCACUACGAAGAAUUAAGCAGAUCCUCUCUCCCUUUUUCGGAAUGGCUUGCAUUCCUUGGCUUGUGGGCUUCUUCCAAGUCUCCUCUACCCUACUGCUCCUUGUCUCACGUUAAAGACACAGGCUCACACACAUCAUGGGAGAACAUCUCCCUGCUCCAAAUGCUGUUUUUAAUCAUGCCUGUGAUUUUGCCAUGUGUAGUGACAUCUUCACAGGCUGAAGGAUUAGGAUAUAGAACAUACCACAGAAGGUAAGAGAGUUUUGAGAACUGGCCCCGGUGGCACAGGUCUGUCAGCCCAAGCUGAUGUCCUCAGUGUGAUCCCGGAGAUCUCUGUGGUGACAGACUUGCUGUUUCAUGCCUGUAAGCCCAGCAUUCAGGAAGGUGAGGCAGGAGGACUACUAUGAGUUUUGAGGCCAGCCUGGGCUAAAGAGUAUGCCCUUGUGUGAUGCAGGCUCCUUGGGUGCAUUCUGACUUUGCUUCUUGGACAAAAAGAGUACCAUGGUCCUGUUGUACAUGGAAAGCUGCAUAGCUAGAAUGUGAAAUGAGUUUAAACUGCCUGAAAUUUAAGUUUCUUUCUUCUCAAAGCUCAAGGACAAUUUUUACUGAAGUUUAAAAGAAAACUCCCCAGAGCAGGAGCCUAUAAAUUCUGUCAGCUGCCCAGAGAGGAAAGAGGGCCCUGGGUGGGGUGGGGGGCAUGCCAUUUGAGUUACUCUGUUGUGGACUUCAGCCACAUGGCAGGGUGGAUGAGGGCGGGGCUCUGGGGAAAGAGUGAGGCUGCAAGCAUUAGGGAAAGCCGGCUAGAAAGAAGGGAAGGGAUGCCUUUCAGAAUAAUUCAGAAAACCGGUCAGACUCAUAAAGCAGCGUGGCAGCACAGCCUGCUUUAAGUUUCUAGGAAAGAGUCGCCAAGUGUCCCCAACCUGCAUGGCAGCGUUCGUCUCCUGACUCCUUACGGAAUUUCCAAAUAAACAGUGAUGUUGGAAGAUUUUGUAGAGCUCACUCCAUACCCCUUAACUAGAGUCUUCAAUUUUGUUUUUGUUCGUUUUGAGACAGGGUCUCACUGUGAAGCCCUGGCUGUCAUGGAACUCAGACCAGGCUGACCUUGAACUCACUGACAUCUGUCUGCCUCUGCCUCCUGAGUGCUGGGAUAAAGGCGUGCGCCACCACUGCCUGGCUCCAUUGCCUGGUUUACAAGUGUGUGUUUCUGAGGAUUCCUGCUUGCCGGGCCAUGCCUUGCCUCUCUCCUCCGUUGCUGAACGUUGUCUCUCUCCUUGUUUCAGAGCACUUUCCCCUACAGCUUCUGCACCAUGUUUCAAUUAAAGUUCAAUAUUUGCUUAUGGUGUUACUUUUUUUUUCCUGUGAGGUAAAAUUUGCAUCUAGUGAAACAUUCCAGUUUAGGCUUCUUCCUGUUUGUCACUGCACCUGUUCUCUCCCUUAGGUGUGAACACAGAGCACACACCUUGUCCUCCCUCCUAAAGCUCUCGUUUAGCCACCAUCGAUCAGUAGGCCAUUCUCUUUUUGUCAAUGCUGGGAAUCUGAGGGUGAGCCCAGGGCCUCACAUGGGAUAAACCAGGGACUCUACCACUGAGUUAUCCCUGGUUCCAACUUUGCUUUUCUAACUUGAAGGCCAUCUUGGUUCUUUCCAUUUUCUCAUGAUUUCAUGACCAAGAUACUCAGACAUACAUAUGGUUUUGUUACAAGCUCUACACUCCAUAUUUUCUCACAUAGGAGUCGAACAUGAGUCCUAUUUCAUGGAGAAAGUACCAUCUGCCUACAUGAGUGAAGUGCCUUUGGGUUGGGGGGGGGAGUCCCAAGGCAACAUUUAGGCUUGACAAUUUAUCAGAAAGACUCAUAGGAUUCUGUUGAGAUUAUGUUUUGUUUUGUUUUGUUUGUUUGUUUUGGUUUUCGAGACAGGGUUUCUCUGUGUAGCUUUGGAGCCUAUCCUGGCACUCGCUCUGGAGACCAG
Molecule: long non-coding RNA, 3133 nt
Filed under: Cricetulus griseus (Chinese hamster)
Lineage: Eukaryota; Metazoa; Chordata; Mammalia; Rodentia; Cricetidae
Description: lncRNA (ENSCGRG00015032337.1)
Source: RNAcentral